ANNGGNNCCAGCCCUCUUUUUUUGGGGGUGGGUUUGAGUGGCGANCGGGUGAGUNUCCACGUGAGNUAACNUGCCCCNUGCUCCNGGGAUAACAGCUUGAAAAGNGAGGCUAAUACGGGGUNNNGCCGNNUGGUCNGCAUGGGCCUGGUNGNGGAUAGUUUCAUCUUCGGGGUGUUUUCGGUGGGGGGAUGGGCUCGCGGCCUAUCAGGNAUGUUGGUGGGGUGAUGNCCCACCAAGGCGGUGACGGGUAGCCGGCCNGAGAGGGUGGGCGGCCACACNGGGACUGAGACACGGCCCAGACUCAUGCGGGAGGCAGCAGUGGGGGGUAUUGCACAAUGGGCGGAAGCCUGAUGCAGCGANNUCGCGUGAGGGAUGGAGGCCUUCGGGUUGUGAACCUCUUUNUCCGGUGGUGAAGGCCCUGUCCGUUGCGGCGGGGUUGACGGUAGCCGGGUAUGAAGCGCCGGCUAACUACGUUCCAGCAGCCGCGGUGAUACGUGGGGCGCGAGCGUUGUCCGGAAUUAUUGGGCGUGAAGGGCUUGUAGGCGNCCGGUCGCGUCCGCCGUGAAAUUCUCCGGCUCAACCGGGGGCUUGCGGUGGGUACGGGCCGGCUGGAGUGCGGUAGGGGAGGCUGGAACUCCUGGUGUAGCGGUGGAAUGCGCAGAUAUCAGGAGGAACACCGGUGGCGAAGGCNGGUCUAUGGGCCGUUACUGACGNUGAGGAGCGAAANCGUGGGGAGGGAACAGG
This 744-nucleotide ribosomal RNA is filed under the name uncultured Actinomyces sp. RNAcentral describes it as "partial 16S ribosomal RNA". It matches the Rfam family "Bacterial small subunit ribosomal RNA", at positions 65 to 776 of the family's 1533-position model. Lineage: Bacteria; Bacillati; Actinomycetota; Actinomycetes; Actinomycetales; Actinomycetaceae. The record is from RNAcentral.